AUGCACACGGAUGAGUCCGACCGGCAGGCAACGGCGUCCGGGCAGCGGCAGGGGCAGUGCCAGCAGCCAUGGGAGUACAGCCUGCGGAAGUACCUCCUGCUGCUGUCCACCCUGGUGGUCACCGUCACCUACGCCGCCGGCUUCAACCCGCCGGGCGGCGUCUGGCAGGUCACCCACGACGGCCAACUCGCCGGCGACCCCAUCAUCCGCCAAACCAACUACCGCCGCUACCUCGCCUUCUUCUACUGCAACGCCACCGCCUUCGCCGCCUCGCUCGUGGUCAUCGUCCUCAUCCUUGUCCUCGCCAUCCGGCACGACAAGGAGAAGGAGAAGAAGAAGAAUGACGCCAUCGGGGUCGUCCUGCCGCUGCGGGGCUUCAUGAUUCUGGACCUCCUUAGCCUCGUGGGCGCCUACGGCGCCGGAACCUGCCGGGACAAGAUCUCCAUCGUCUACUCUGCGGUGUUGGUGGCCAUCGUCUUUCUCUGCAUCGUGGCUCUCAAGUUGAUGGAUUGCUGGUCCACAGACAAGAACCAUGGCCCUGGCUCCGAUGGCGUGACGCCCCUGACGAAGCCCAAAGCAGAAGAGCGGCUCUGCAAGGUCCUGAUGCUCCUGGCCACGUUCGCGGUGAGCGUCACAUACGUCGCCGGGCUGAGCACGCCGGGUGGCUUCUGGGACAGCACCGGGACCAGCUACCGCCCAGGUGAUGCAAUUCUCAAGGACCGUCACAGCAUGCGCCUGACGGUGUUCCUGCUCUGCAACACCACGGCGUUCGUGGCGUCCCUGCUCAUCACCAUGCUGCUCAUCAUCGACGGCAAGAAGCUCCGCGAGAAGACGGCUCGCUCUCGCGUGCUCUACGGGUGUAUCGUCGUCGCGCUUGUCGGCCUCAUUGGCGCAUACACCGCUGGCAGCUGCAGGAAGGCCGACACCACCGCCAAAUUGGUCGGCCUUGUCGGCGCCGUUCUGGCAAUGGCAUACAUUCUACUCUAUGGUGGUUUCUAUACGUCAGCGCCAAAAAUUUCGUGUUCUUGUUUCGGUCCAGCAAAACAAACUGAUGAUGAUGUCAGUACUAAGGAGCUUCUGGAGAAGGCUCGCUCUCUUGUUCUACUGCUGGCCACUCUUGCCGCCACAAUCACCUACACAGCGGGGCUGGACCCGCCGGGUGGCCUUUGGCAGGACAACGUCGAUGGGCACAUGGCCGGUGACCCGAUCCUCCUCACCACAAACGCUAGGAGGUACAAGGCCUUCUUCUACUGCAACUCGGUUGCGUUCGUGGCCUCUUUGGUGGCCAUCGUCCUGGUCCAGAAGGAGAUUCUGGUCAAGCACCAUGUGCUUGAGGCAGCCAUGAUACUCGACCUGUUUGGCCUCAUCGGCGCAUAUGCCGCUGGGAGCUGCCGGGACGCCAACACCUCCUUUUAUGCCAUGGCUUUGGCCGGCGCCGUCCUCGUCUAUGUGGUGAUCCAUGUUGUCUUCUUCACACUAGAUCAGGAUCCCAAGGACCAAAAAGACGACGAAGCAGAUCAGUUGCUGGAGAAGAGGCGCUUGCUGGAGAAGAGGCGCAAACGGUUGCUCCUCUUUGCGAUCUUGGCCGCAACCAUCACCUACCAAGCAGGCCUCACCCCUCCCGGCGGCGUCCUGCUCAAGGAUGACAAUCUCGGGCACCACGCUGGCGACCCGGUACUCUUGUACAACUACCCAUUACGCUACAAGGUCUUCUUCUACUGCAACUCGGUGAGCUUCAUGUUGUCCAUCGCCCUCAUCAUCCUCCUGGUGAACCCCAAUCUGUACAGGCCAGCCAUACGAAGCAAUGCUUUAUCUGUUUGUACGGCAGUGGGCUUGUUUUGCUUGACGGGUGCCUAUGCCGCUGGAAGCACGCAACACUUCAAGACAUCCAUCUACAUCUUUGUGCUGGUUGGCGCGGUCCUCUUUGUUGCAGCUGGACUGCUGCUAGUAUUUUUGCUGACGAAGCCAAACAAAAAUGAAAAUUCAACAGCUGCUGCGCCAUCCAUAUCCUGUGAACAGGAAGACGGAGAAGAAGAAAAGAAGAAACACGCCAGGAGCAAGUACCUGAUGCUGCUAGGCAUCUUGGUGGCAAGCGUAGCCUACCAGGCCGGCCUGGAUCCGCCCGGCGGAGCAUGGCAGAGCAGUGGCAAUGGGUAUGAGGCGGGUGACCCUGUGAUGCACUUUAACAGGAGGCCACGGUACCUCGUCUUCUUCUACAGCAACUCCAUUUCCUUCAUGGCUUCCAUCGUCGUCAUCAUGAUGCUGCUACCGCACUGGCUGCCAAAUGAGAAUGGAAAAAAUUGGGCGAAAUGGUCGCUGAGGGUGAUGAACUGGACGAUCCUACUGGAUUUGGUCACUCUCCUAGUGGCCUAUGCAGCCGGCUCCAGCAGGGGGUGGAAGACAUCUGUGUAUGUCGGCAUGCUCAUACUUGCCGUUCUGGGCUACUUUGCAAUCCAUAUGACGCUGUCGAUAUGGUCUGAUCGUCGCCGAGCAGCCAAGAAAAAACUAGAGCGUGAUUCUUUACCGGUGCGCUCAGCAGUGGUACACUCUAGCUAG
RNAcentral lists this ribosomal RNA (2556 nucleotides) under Triticum aestivum (bread wheat). RNAcentral describes it as "partial small subunit ribosomal RNA". Lineage: Eukaryota; Viridiplantae; Streptophyta; Magnoliopsida; Poales; Poaceae. The record is from RNAcentral.